RNAcentral lists this long non-coding RNA (230 nucleotides) under Jatropha curcas. RNAcentral describes it as "long non-coding RNA (JCUR_LNC003484)". The record is from RNAcentral. Lineage: Eukaryota; Viridiplantae; Streptophyta; Magnoliopsida; Malpighiales; Euphorbiaceae.
UGGAACAAAAAGUUAAAUCAAAUCUUAGUUGAGGAUGACAAUCUCAAAGUUUGUUAGCUGGUUAUUCAAGUGUCAUCUAAUAAUAAUAUCACUUGCCAGAUUAAGUGAGAGAUAAAUACAAAAGUUAUUGAUAAACAAUCAUAAUAUUCUUCAUCGGCCCUGAAUCAAUGAUAAGGUUAUAUCAUUAGUUGAAGAUGAUACUCGAUUUCUUGCUGGUGAUGGUGUUUCAG